Neopsephotus bourkii (Bourke's parrot) is the source of this 307-nucleotide long non-coding RNA. RefSeq lists it as uncharacterized. The transcript is spliced from 3 exons. NCBI's taxonomy places the organism in Eukaryota, Metazoa, Chordata, Aves, Psittaciformes, Psittacidae. The record is from RefSeq and is a predicted model, not a curated record.
ACAGGUUGCAGGUUUGCAAAAACAGACCCUACUCAAGACGUUUUGAGGGUCUCCCCAGUGACAUUCACACCUAAGCUGAAGUAACGCGGCUCCAAGAUCUCCUCAGGAGCUCCAGGAAUGCCCAAGCAGGAUGCUUCCCAGCUAAUGAUGUACAUUCAAUCAACAGUUUACCAUUUGCCAAACAGAAAGAUGUAAUUGAGUAUCUGCCAAGACAAAAUAACAGCUAGGUAACUUGCAUGGAAGUGCACAAGAUGUUUAAACAGUACAAAGAGAAAGAAACGGUACUACUUGAUAAAAGAGAGACACA